RNAcentral lists this ribosomal RNA (478 nucleotides) under uncultured bacterium. RNAcentral's name for it is "partial 16S ribosomal RNA". It matches the Rfam family "Bacterial small subunit ribosomal RNA", at positions 28 to 523 of the family's 1533-position model. The record is from RNAcentral.
GACGAACGCUGGCGGCAUGCCUAACACAUGCAAGUCGAGCGAGCAGAUCCCUUCGGGGUGAAGCUAGCGGCGGACGGGUGAGUAACACGUGGGCAACCUGCCUCAUAGAGGGGAAUAGCCUUCCGAAAGGAAGAUUAAUACCGCAUAAGAUUGUAGCUUCGCAUGAAGCAGCAAUUAAAGGAGCAAUCAGCUAUGAGAUGGGCCCGCGGCGCAUUAGCUAGUUGGUGAGGUAACGGCUCACCAAGGCGACGAUGCGUAGCCGACCUGUGAGGGUGAUCGGCCACAUUGGGACUGAGACACGGCCCAGACUCCUACGGGAGGCAGCAGUGGGGAAUAUUGCACAAUGGGGGAAACCCUGAUGCAGCAAUGCCGCGUGAGUGAUGACGGCCUUCGGGUUGUAAAGCUCUGUCUUCGGGGACGAUAAUGACGGUACCCGAGGAGGAAGCCACGGCUAACUACGUGCCAGCAGCCGCCGUAA